RNAcentral lists this ribosomal RNA (439 nucleotides) under uncultured bacterium. Its description in RNAcentral is "partial 16S ribosomal RNA". It matches the Rfam family "Bacterial small subunit ribosomal RNA", at positions 339 to 795 of the family's 1533-position model. The record is from RNAcentral.
CUACGGGGGGCACCAGUGGGGAAUAUUGCACAAUGGAGGAAACUCUGAUGCAGCAACGCCGCGUGGAGGAUGACACUUUUCGGAGCGUAAACUCCUUUUAUAUAGGAAGAAGAUGACGGUACUAUAUGAAUAAGCGCCGGCUAACUCCGUGCCAGCAGCCGCGGUAAUACGGAGGGCGCAAGCGUUACUCAGAAUCACUGGGCGUAAAGAGCGUGUAGGCGGAUUAAAAAGUCAGAAGUGAAAUCCUAUAGCUUAACUAUAGAACUGCUUCUGAAACUCUUAAUCUAGAAUAUGGGAGAGGUAGAUGGAAUUUCUGGUGUAGGGGUAAAAUCCGUAGAGAUCAGAAGGAAUACCGAUUGCGAAGGCGAUCUACUAGAACAUUAUUGACGCUGAGACGCGAAAGCGUGGGGAGCAAACAGGAUUAGAUACCCGUGUAGUC